AACUGGACUAGGUCGGGCAGUUAGGCCCUGCUCAUCACCCGCCAUAGAGUCUUUAGCGGGGACCAAACGCUGAAGGCGUCCAGUCAGACCGACUCGGGCCCCAACAGCCAACGUAGAAACCUCGUCCGACGGGGACAGCGGUUCAGCGUCCUCGCUCGCAGGAGCGAUCGAUGCUGUCUCGUCGGCGAUACCGGGUCAGGCACGGAAGUGAGCAGCCCAUCGCCGGACGUGCGUCGCUCGUUGGGUCGCGGGGUGGAGGAGGCAACUGGGAUUCCCCGUGUCCGGAACGCUGGGCAAUUUCAGCCCGUCCACAU
Molecule: signal recognition particle RNA, 314 nt
Filed under: Haloferacaceae archaeon YAN
Lineage: Archaea; Methanobacteriati; Methanobacteriota; Halobacteria; Halobacteriales; Haloferacaceae
Description: signal recognition particle sRNA
Rfam family: Archaeal signal recognition particle RNA
Source: RNAcentral